UACGAAGGGGGCUAGCGUUGCUCGGAAUUACUGGGCGUAAAGGGCGCGUAGGCGGAUGUUUAAGUCAGCGGUGAAAGCCCAGGGCUCAACCUUGGAACUGCCAUUGAUACUGGACAUCUUGAGUACGGGAGAGGUGAGUGGAACACCGAGUGUAGAGGUGAAAUUCGUAGAUAUUCGGUAGAACACCAGUGGCGAAGGCGGCCAACUGGACGGUGACUGACACUGAGACGCGAAAGCGUGGGGAGCAAACAGG
RNAcentral lists this ribosomal RNA (253 nucleotides) under uncultured bacterium. RNAcentral's name for it is "partial 16S ribosomal RNA". It matches the Rfam family "Bacterial small subunit ribosomal RNA", at positions 524 to 776 of the family's 1533-position model. The record is from RNAcentral.